CAGAUCCUAAGCACUGGGUAUGAAGGCCAAGCAAAAAGCCUUGGUUCUGGGCAGGAUCUGCAGUCACAUUUCUAGAUUACCAGCUCAUCCAGGACUUGAGAGACCAAGACCCAGGAGAAAAGGAAACCUCAGAGAGGUCUUAAUUUUCAUCCAGACCACCUUCAGCCCACUUCUACUGACCACAAGCUUUUGGAUCCUGCCCUGGGUCUCUGAGCACAGCAGAAUACAGGAGAAUCCCUUUCUUCUGGAGACAUGAUGCCUUAUCUUCCCUCCCAAAGGACCAUCUCUGCUUCAAUUCCACUGCCAGCCACAUCCUUGCUACCACCCUCUUACUACUUCCUAUUCCAGCCAAACUGUAUUAGUUUUUAAUUUAUUUCACUCAGUUAUUCUUAUUACAGUUUAAAUAUAGAAAAUACAAAAUAUGGAUAUUUAUUUUAUUUCUUAUUAUACAAGCAUAUCCAUGUUAUCUUUGAUAUUGCUACUUGGUCCACACAGGUGGAUAAGGUACCAUAUUUACCAUCUGACCCUUUAUAGAAAAAGUUAGCUGACCCCUCGUCUAAACUAUGAAGACAGAAACAUCUGUUUUUUUCCUUAUUGUAGUCCCACAACAGGUGUAAAUGUGUCCUAAAUGAAUAUCAUUAAGUGAAUAAAUGAUGGAAAAAUUGU
Molecule: long non-coding RNA, 666 nt
Filed under: Homo sapiens (human)
Lineage: Eukaryota; Metazoa; Chordata; Mammalia; Primates; Hominidae
Description: long intergenic non-protein coding RNA 1040
Source: RNAcentral